Molecule: ribosomal RNA, 253 nt
Filed under: uncultured bacterium
Lineage: Bacteria
Description: partial 16S ribosomal RNA
Rfam family: Bacterial small subunit ribosomal RNA
Source: RNAcentral
UACGAAGGGGGCAAGCGUUGUUCGGAAUUACUGGGCGUAAAGCGCGUGUAGGCGGCUCUUCAAGUCAGGCGUGAAAGCCCUGAGCUCAACUCAGGAACUGCGUUUGAUACUGUCGAGCUAGAGUGUGGAAGGGGCAAUCGGAAUUCCGUGUGUAGCGGUGAAAUGCGUAGAUAUACGGAGGAACACCAGAGGCGAAGGCGGAUUGCUGGGCCAACACUGACGCUGAGACGCGAAAGCUAGGGUAGCAAACGGG